This 72-nucleotide transfer RNA is filed under the name Vigna subterranea (Bambara groundnut). Its description in RNAcentral is "tRNA-Gln". It matches the Rfam family "tRNA". From Rfam's summary of the family: Transfer RNA (tRNA) molecules are approximately 80 nucleotides in length. Their secondary structure includes four short double-helical elements and three loops (D, anti-codon, and T loops). Further hydrogen bonds mediate the characteristic L-shaped molecular structure. tRNAs have two regions of fundamental functional importance: the anti-codon, which is responsible for specific mRNA codon recognition, and the 3' end, to which the tRNAs corresponding amino acid is attached (by aminoacyl-tRNA synthetases). tRNAs cope with the degeneracy of the genetic code in two manners: having more than one tRNA (with a specific anti-codon) for a particular amino acid; and 'wobble' base-pairing, i.e. permitting non-standard base-pairing at the 3rd anti-codon position. RNAcentral also lists the same sequence under 2 other names. Lineage: Eukaryota; Viridiplantae; Streptophyta; Magnoliopsida; Fabales; Fabaceae. The record is from RNAcentral.
UGGGACGUGGCCAAGCGGUAAGGCAACGGGUUUUGGUCCCGCUAUUCGGAGGUUCGAAUCCUUCCGUCCCAG